AUGUUGAAAAAACAACUAGAGGACCAGCAAGGAGCUGCGACUGAGGUGGAGACCCUCAAGAAGUCGCUGGUCGAGGCCCAAAAGAGACUGGCGAAGGAACAAGCCGCCCGUGAAAAGCACGAGGCAAGGGUCGGGAGGACGCCGCAAAGAAAUGCGAGUCCUUGGAGCGCAAGAUUUCGAACCAAGAGUAUGAAUUUGCUAAGGCUCGCCAAAGCGCGCAAGAGGCCCGGGACGAAGCCCAGGAUGCCCUCUAGGAGAUCCAGGAAGCCAGGAAAAUCGCGGCGGGUAAGGCCUUUAUUAUGCAGAGCAAGUUUGUGA
This 318-nucleotide ribosomal RNA is filed under the name Triticum aestivum (bread wheat). Its description in RNAcentral is "partial small subunit ribosomal RNA". Lineage: Eukaryota; Viridiplantae; Streptophyta; Magnoliopsida; Poales; Poaceae. The record is from RNAcentral.